Molecule: ribosomal RNA, 252 nt
Filed under: uncultured bacterium
Lineage: Bacteria
Description: partial 16S ribosomal RNA
Rfam family: Bacterial small subunit ribosomal RNA
Source: RNAcentral
UACGUAGGGGGCGAGCGUUGUCCGAAGUUACUGGGCGUAAAGAGCGCGUAGGCGGGUCCUUAAGUGUGGGGUGAAAGUCCGGGGCUCAACCCCGGAACUGCCCUGCAAACUGGGGAUCUUGAGUGCGGGAGGGGCGAGUGGAAUGGUCGGUGUAGCGGUGAAAUGCGUAGAUAUCGAUCGGAACACCCAUGGCGAAGGCAGCUCGCUGGCCUGUAACUGACGCUGAGGCGCGAAAGCGUGGGGAGCAAACAG